AGCACGCAUGAAUAGAGUCCAGCUCUCUAAUCGUCCGCAAGGACAAUUUGACAAUUUGACCUCAAAUCAGGUAGGACUACCCGCUG
This 86-nucleotide ribosomal RNA is filed under the name Pleurotus pulmonarius. RNAcentral's name for it is "partial 28S ribosomal RNA". Lineage: Eukaryota; Fungi; Basidiomycota; Agaricomycetes; Agaricales; Pleurotaceae. The record is from RNAcentral.